This 798-nucleotide long non-coding RNA is filed under the name Physcomitrium patens. RNAcentral describes it as "long non-coding RNA (PPAT_LNC007427)". The record is from RNAcentral. Lineage: Eukaryota; Viridiplantae; Streptophyta; Bryopsida; Funariales; Funariaceae.
UAUCCUCUCACACAAGUUUUACUCCAAUCCAACUAGUAGAUUGCAUGAAAUCUUAAAAACUCUCACUAGACCUAAAAUUAUACUUUCUGAGUCCUUAACUCACUUAAACCUCAAUAUCUUUCAAUUCAACCGUUAGAUCAAGCUUAAAUUCACAACAUGUAUUCAACACAACUAUAAACAUGAACCCAAAAAAAUUCACCCGUAGAUCUGCAACAAAACUCUCGAAAUCACUCAAAACAUAAACCCUAUUUUAUUUCAUAAAACCCAAGUCAUCCGAAAAAAAACUCAACUUUGCAAAGCUCUUACAAAUUCAUAUCAACUCCAAAUCACCCAAAAUAAACGCCCAUAGAAACCCUAACCAACCUUCUCUCCAACCCCACUCUCCAAACUUCCAAAGAGUCCCGGAGUCAUCAUCGAUACUCGGUUUUGUGCCUCAGGGUUUGAUUUCGACCCUGGUUCAUAACCGGCCCUCUCCGGAUAUCAAUAUCUAUUUUUUCUAAGUAAUUUUUUCUAGAAUUUACUCUUAACUUUCUUCUUAAUAUUCUUAUAUCAUUUAUUUUUCCAAUCUACUUUGAUUUGCCUUACUUAUGGUACUACAAAGUAAAUAGAAGUCACCUUUCUAAAAGGCUACAUUGAUACCUUUUAAUUUUUCUACCCCUUUGGCUAUUAACUAUAUUUCUAAGAUAAUUUGUUCUAAUACUUUGAACUAAGAUUUUUUAAAUUAUAAUAAUCUCCACACUCUUUCACCUAUUAAUCGUAUUACAUCACAAAAUCGGAAAACGAAUUUAUCCAGCUACA